Molecule: transfer RNA, 74 nt
Filed under: Phycisphaerae bacterium
Lineage: Bacteria; Pseudomonadati; Planctomycetota; Phycisphaerae
Also listed under: 1 other name
Description: tRNA-Val
Rfam family: tRNA
About the family: Transfer RNA (tRNA) molecules are approximately 80 nucleotides in length. Their secondary structure includes four short double-helical elements and three loops (D, anti-codon, and T loops).
Source: RNAcentral
GGGCGGUUAGCUCAGUUGGCUAGAGCGCCUCGCUUACAACGAGGAGGUCACAGGUUCGAGUCCUGUAUCGCCCA